RNAcentral lists this ribosomal RNA (49 nucleotides) under Porites lobata. Its description in RNAcentral is "partial 12S ribosomal RNA". Lineage: Eukaryota; Metazoa; Cnidaria; Anthozoa; Scleractinia; Poritidae. The record is from RNAcentral.
UUGCCCCUCAAGAGGGUUCCUAAUAUCUUCGAGGUAGAGUAAGUCGUAA